This 403-nucleotide long non-coding RNA is filed under the name Phoenix dactylifera (date palm). Its description in RNAcentral is "long non-coding RNA (PDAC_LNC007245)". Lineage: Eukaryota; Viridiplantae; Streptophyta; Magnoliopsida; Arecales; Arecaceae. The record is from RNAcentral.
UGGUGUGUUGGUUUCUCACUUGCGAGGAGCAGUGCAUAACGGAAGCUUAAAUUGGCUGUGGAAAGUGGCAUUGCCGUUGCAGCACCGAAGUUGUAGGCUCUCAUCUAUGUCUAGAUUCUUUCGUUGCACGUGGCGAGUGCGCGUGUCUGCAUGCUGGAAAGAGUGACAAGUGUUGCUAGCAAUGCUCUCCAGCUGCAGUGUGCUGCAUGGGUGUCGUCCUGCCUAGCAAUUUGGUUUUUAGCAUGGUUGGUCUUCAAUUCCUAACAUGUCUCACACAUAGCAAAAAUGAUGAUUUUUAAGAUUGACUAUUUGUUGCUCCAUCGCUUGUCAUAUUUGGCUAGUCAGAAAUACUUUCAUUUCAAACUAUGGAUUACGGCACACUCAUAACUCUUUCGAAAGCUCG